CAGCCCGGAGGCCUGUAUCCAGCCCGGAGACCUGUAGCCAGCCCUGCCCUGGGAACCCCUCUCUGGGCCUCCAGCAGUGGGGCCAGAGUGGAGGAGGGGAGGUCAUGCCCCUCCCUGAGGCAAGAGGUGAGUAGGCAGCCUCCAGAGGCGCUGCCCCGACCUUGGGCCUCAGCCUUGGCAGCUGGGGGGAUGGUCUGGUGAACUCUAGGCUGAGCCAGCCUGAGCUGAAUGGUGCCCUUUCCUGGAGGCAGGCAGGUGAGAUGCCAAGGCCUGUUACCUCUUUGAACCUAUUUCUCCAUCAUGAAAAUGGAGCAAAUAAACCUACCUACUUGUGG
This is a long non-coding RNA of Sapajus apella (tufted capuchin), 335 nucleotides long. RefSeq lists it as uncharacterized. Lineage: Eukaryota; Metazoa; Chordata; Mammalia; Primates; Cebidae. The record is from RefSeq and is a predicted model, not a curated record. The transcript is spliced from 3 exons.